Non-coding RNA from Pelobates cultripes (western spadefoot toad), 95 nucleotides. NCBI's taxonomy places the organism in Eukaryota, Metazoa, Chordata, Amphibia, Anura, Pelobatidae. The record is from the annotation of a GenBank genome assembly.
UGUGUUUGUGUAGUGUGUGUGUAUAUAAUGCAGUGUGUGUGUAGUGUGCAUUAUAUAAACACACUGCAUUAUAUACACACACACUACACAAACAC